GUUUAACCAAGAUAGAUGUUAAAACUCAAAAAAAAGUCAUUGGAAGGGUCUUCAUAAUUACCAAGAACCAUUUUCCUAAAAACAUUGAAAAUAUUCUGUAAUUCUAAAUAAACUGUUUAUAUUCUUAGUUUAUGUGAAGUAAGAUUCAUGUUUUUUAAUUAUACUGUCUAUGUAUUUGCUGCUGAUCUAAAAUGUAUGUAAACAAAUAUCACUUUAGGCUGAAAGAGAUGAGGAAGAAUUUGCAUUGAUUCUGAUGGGAAAAAAAUUUUUUUUAAAUAGGGCGCCAUCGUUGUAUUGGGGAAAAUUUCGCUUAUGUUCAAAUCAAGACGAUUUGGUCCACUAUGCUUCGUCUAUAUGAAUUUGAUCUCAUUAAUGGAUAUUUUCCUACUGUGAAUUAUACAACUAUGAUUCAUACGCCUGAAAACCCAGUUAUUCGUUACAAACGAAGAUCACACUGAAAAAGGCUGCAAGGAACUAAUGUGAUAUAUUAUUGUAAGCUUCGAAAACAUUUGAAGAAAAUGAAGUUUAUGAAACAGCUCUCAUAGUAUACUGUUUGUAAUUCUAAAAGCCAGUUUAAUUUAUGAUUUUAAUAUUUUAUUAACUGAAUGGUUCUAUCAAAUCUAAUGGCAUUUGAAACAUUUUAUAAUAGUUUUGAUACUUACUACAUGUGCUUUGAGGAAGCCAAAGUUUAUUAGUAAAAAUAAUUGUUUUGGGGGAUCUAUGUAAUUAUCAGACUCCAAAAUAGUACAAUUUCCAGCUACUAAUUUUAAAAGCUAUAGACAAAUAGGUCAGGAAUUUCAAAUCUGGUACUAGUUAUACAAGAUACAGAAAGCCCAAGGAAAUAUUUGGAAGGUCUUAGUUAUUCAUUUAUCUGGGAAGUUUUUGUGUGUAAGGAUGGAAAAGUAGGGAAUAAACUCACAGUUAUAGCCUGGGAUAAAAGAGAAUAUUAUUAAUUAGUUUUGGUAUAAUGAUAUUGAGCAGUGAUAGAGAUAAGUUAUAGAAAAAUACAUCCUUUUUAAGUUUGAACUGGAAGAACUGUUGGAAGUUGAGAGAGAUGUAGGACCAUGCUUUGGUAAUCAUAUUUCUGAAAAAUAAUAAAUACUAAAAAAGACUACCCAUGUGUCUUCAUAUACUAAAUAUUACAUACGUCUCCAUAUGAUAAAUAGGUGUCCUGUUCCACAAGGUCAUAUCUAUGUGCAAGUCCAAAAUCAAGUCUGUAGGAGAUAUAAUUUUCGUUUUCUUCUUUGGCUCAGUGUUAUUCCCUGCCUCCUCCAAAAUCCAUUUAUGGAUGUUUCUAUUACUAGUUCCAUUCAUUCAAGUAAAUAAACUUUUUAAAAGUACAGGAUAUGAGAUCAGGGAACUGUGGCUUUAAGAUAAGGUAAUAUGAAGUAGGUUCUUGGUAUUAUUGGUCAUAUUCUAUGAAGCCCUAUGUUCAGUAAUCAACCUAACUCAAAUUAUAACUGGGGGCCUAAUUAUAAUGAGAUACCUGUAAUUUGAUCACAUAAUCUGCUUGUACUAGAUGAAGCCAAAAUAUUUUCCCUUAUGUAUAUUACAGUUCUGUUUAAGAGGCUGGAAGACUUGUGUUAAAUUCUAAUUGUUUAGAACAAAUCUCUGCUGUUAAAAAGUUUUUCACAUUAAAAUUCUCCUUGAGAAAAAUACAGUCUG
RNAcentral lists this long non-coding RNA (1665 nucleotides) under Marmota monax (woodchuck). The record is from RNAcentral. Lineage: Eukaryota; Metazoa; Chordata; Mammalia; Rodentia; Sciuridae.